This 474-nucleotide ribosomal RNA is filed under the name uncultured bacterium. RNAcentral's name for it is "bacterial SSU rRNA". It matches the Rfam family "Bacterial small subunit ribosomal RNA", at positions 29 to 507 of the family's 1533-position model. The record is from RNAcentral.
AAUGAACGUUGGCGGCGUGGAUUAGGCAUGCAAGUCGUGCGAGAACCAAUUAGCUUGCUAUGAGGUGGACAGCGGCGAAAGGGAGAGUAACGCGUGGUUACGUGCCCUCGGGACCGGGAUAGUGUCGGGAAACUGGCAGUAAUACCGGAUAACAUCUUUGGAUCAAAUGGUGUGAUUCCGCCCGAGGAUCGGACCGCGUACUAUUAGCUUGUUGGCGGGGUAACGGCCCACCAAGGCUGCGAUGGUUACCGGGUGUGAGAGCAUGGCCCGGCUCACUGGGACUGAGACACUGCCCAGACAUCUACGGAUGGCUGCAGUCGAGAAUCUUCGGCAAUGGACGAAAGUCUGACCGAGCGACGCCGCGUGCGGGAUGAAGGCCCUCGGGUUGUAAACCGCUGUCAGUUAGGAGGAAAUGCAUGAGGGUUCUCUCUCAUGUUUGACCGAUUUUCAGAGGAAGGACGGGCUAAGUUCGUG